UACGAAGGGAGCUAGCGUUGUUCGGAAUUACUGGGCGUAAAGCGCGCGUAGGUGGUUCAGCAAGUUGAAGGUGAAAUCCCCGGGCUCAACCUGGGAACUGCCUCCAAAACUACUGAGCUAGAGUACGGUAGAGGGUAGUGGAAUUUCCUGUGUAGCGGUGAAAUGCGUAGAUAUAGGAAGGAACACCAGUGGCGAAGGCGACUACCUGGACUGAUACUGACACUGAGGUGCGAAAGCGUGGGGAGCAAACAGG
RNAcentral lists this ribosomal RNA (253 nucleotides) under uncultured bacterium. RNAcentral's name for it is "partial 16S ribosomal RNA". It matches the Rfam family "Bacterial small subunit ribosomal RNA", at positions 524 to 776 of the family's 1533-position model. The record is from RNAcentral.